AUUUCUGCUUAGUGGUGCAAUAAUUAAAAUAAAAAUAACUAAUAAUUAUUUCAUAUAAAAUUUGCUAAAUUUUUGAAUUACUUACAUAUUUGUGGAACUUUGGGAGCAAAUAAUUUAUCGGGAUCUUUUUAUUCAUAUUUUUCAUAUCCAGUUUUAUUAAAUCCAUAUUAGUGAUCUCUUCAUGUACUUAUUUAAAUUUAAAGUGUGUUACUCAUAUCUGUGCCCAAGUAAUCUAUGACAGACUAUAAAAACUGAAUACACGGGAGUAUACUAGUUAGA
RNAcentral lists this unclassified non-coding RNA (279 nucleotides) under Hevea brasiliensis (rubber tree). The record is from RNAcentral. Lineage: Eukaryota; Viridiplantae; Streptophyta; Magnoliopsida; Malpighiales; Euphorbiaceae.